This is a non-coding RNA of Marasmius tenuissimus, 80 nucleotides long. Lineage: Eukaryota; Fungi; Basidiomycota; Agaricomycetes; Agaricales; Marasmiaceae. The record is from the annotation of a GenBank genome assembly.
UCCCCCUUAGCUCAGUGGUAGAGCGCUUCACUAGUAUUCCGCACAUGAAGAGGUCAGUCGUUCAAGUCGGCUAGGGGGAA